Molecule: ribosomal RNA, 445 nt
Filed under: uncultured bacterium
Lineage: Bacteria
Description: partial 16S ribosomal RNA
Rfam family: Bacterial small subunit ribosomal RNA
Source: RNAcentral
GUAGGGAAUAUUGGGCAAUGGAGGCAACUCUGACCCAGCCAUGCCGCGUGCAGGAUGACGGCCCUCUGGGUUGUAAACUGCUUUUAUACGGGAAGAAAAAAUACUACGUGUAGUAUACUGACGGUACCGUAAGAAUAAGGAUCGGCUAACUCCGUGCCAGCAGCCGCGGUAAUACGGAGGAUCCAAGCGUUGUCCGGAUUUAUUGGGUUUAAAGGGUGCGUAGGCGGAUCUUUAAGUCAGUGGUGAAAGCCUGCAGCGUAACUGUAGAAUUGCCAUUGAAACUGAAGAUCUUGAAUGUGGUUAAAGUAGACGGAAUGUAUCAUGUAGCGGUGAAAUGCUUAGAUAUGAUACAGAACACCGAUAGCGAAGGCAGCUUGCUGAACCAUUAUUGACGCUGAGGCACGAAAGCGUGGGGAGCGAACAGGAUUAGAAACCCUUGUAGUCC